This 139-nucleotide ribosomal RNA is filed under the name uncultured bacterium. RNAcentral's name for it is "partial 16S ribosomal RNA". It matches the Rfam family "Bacterial small subunit ribosomal RNA", at positions 355 to 509 of the family's 1533-position model. The record is from RNAcentral.
UGGGGAAUAUUGGGCAAUGGGCGAAAGCCUGACCCAGCAACGCCGCGUGAAGGAAGAAGGCCUUCGGGUUGUAAACUUCUUUACCAGGGACGAAGGACGUGACGGUACCUGGAGAAAAAGCAACGGCUAACUACGUGCC